RNAcentral lists this non-coding RNA (143 nucleotides) under Pessonella sp. PRA-29. Lineage: Eukaryota; Discosea; Flabellinia; Vannellidae. The record is from RNAcentral.
AACCCACUUGUAAACAACAAAACACCAAACCAUCGACAAAAACAAAGAAAACAGAUUAGAAUUAACAAUUUCGCAUUUUUAUUCAUGGUUUUUGAGACAAAUGUGCGAUUUUUUUUUUCGUUUUUUUUUCUCUCUCUCUCUCU